RNAcentral lists this long non-coding RNA (672 nucleotides) under Homo sapiens (human). RNAcentral's name for it is "HSALNT0328978". The record is from RNAcentral. Lineage: Eukaryota; Metazoa; Chordata; Mammalia; Primates; Hominidae.
AUAACUUGUCAUCCCUACUAUCUUCUGUCUAGUCAUACUCCUAUUCACCGUUCUCAACUACUCAUACAUGCCCUGCUCUGGUUUACACUGCCGGUUUACACUGUUUCUCCAAGCCAUCACAGCUGAUAUCUCCUCGUGCUAUCCCCAAACUGCCACUCUUAACUCUUGAAGUAAAUAAAUAAUCUUUGCUGGCAGGACUAUGCUGAACCUCCGUAGGCACUCUCUAAUUAGAUGUCCUAGGUCCUCCCAAUUCUUAGUCCUUUUAUACCUGUUUUUCUCCUUCUCUUAUUCCAUUUAGUUUUUCAAUUCAUACGAAACCGUAUCCAGGCCAUCACCAAUCAUUCUAUACGACAAAUGUUUCUUCUAACAACCCCACAGUAUCACCCCUUACCACAAGACCUCCCUCCAGCUUAAUCUCUCCCACUCUAGGUUCCCACACCGCCCCUAAUCCCACUUGAAGCAGCUCUGAGAAACAUCGCCCAUUCUCUCUCCAUACCACACCCCAAAAAUUUUCGCCUCCCCAACACUUCAACACUAUUUUGUUUUAUUUUUCUUAUUAAUAUAAGGAGGCAGGAAUGUCAGGCCUCUGAGCCCAAGCCAAGCCAUCGCAUCCCCGGUGACUUGCACGAAUAUGCCCAGAUGGCCUGAAGUAACUGAAGAAUCACAAAAGAA